This 440-nucleotide ribosomal RNA is filed under the name uncultured bacterium. RNAcentral's name for it is "partial 16S ribosomal RNA". It matches the Rfam family "Bacterial small subunit ribosomal RNA", at positions 338 to 795 of the family's 1533-position model. The record is from RNAcentral.
CCUACGGGGGGCAGCAGUGGGGAAUAUUGCACAAUGGGGGCAACCCUGAUGCAGCAACGCCGCGUGAGUGAAGAAGUAUUUCGGUAUGUAAAGUUCUAUCAUCAGGGAAGAAAAUGACGGUACCUGACUAAGAAGCCCCCGCUAACUACGUGCCAGCAGCCGCGGUAAUACGUAGGGGGCAAGCGUUAUCCGGAUUUACUGAGUGUAAAGGGAGCGGAGACGGUGAGGCAAGUCUGAAGUGAAAGCCCUGGGCUCAACCCCGGGACUGCAUUGGAAACUGUUAUGCUGGAGUGCUGGAGAGGUAAGCGGAAUUCCUAGUGUAGCGGUGAAAUGCGUAGAUAUUAGGAGGAACACCAGUGGCGAAGGCGGCUUACUGGACAGUAACUGACGUUGAGGCUCGAAAGCGUGGGGAGCAAACAGGAUUAGAUACCCGUGUAGUC